This is a long non-coding RNA of Haliotis rubra (blacklip abalone), 529 nucleotides long. RefSeq lists it as uncharacterized. The record is from RefSeq and is a predicted model, not a curated record. The transcript is spliced from 3 exons. Lineage: Eukaryota; Metazoa; Mollusca; Gastropoda; Lepetellida; Haliotidae.
CUGAUAACGAUAUCCUUCUUUCACGAGUAAUGUGACGAUUAUCAAUUCCAAACACAACACAUGGUGUAUAGCUGUGACAAUGUUGGGUCAUUUCGUCCUCAUUAUAUACGUGUUGUGCAUAAUGAUAAGCUGCAACAACAACACAGCAUAGAACUGGAAUACUCUGAAGCUGACAAGUGUUCCGUCAUUAUCAACAAACGGAGAUUGUUUCACCUUGAGCUGUACGAGCUCAAGAAGAAUUAGUAUAAUUUUCUGGUUUAAGGACGACAACAUAAUCUUCAAUACAACACGACACGUGGAUGCUGCUGACCUCCAAACCGUACCAGGAGUUGAUCACGUGAACUGUGAUGCCUCCCAACACAAUGUAACCAUCAACAUAACUACCACUCAGUACAAUGGAUCUGUAUGGAAGUGUUCAGAUGCUCGCGUAAUCAGCAACAAUCUUUCUAUCAAUGUUGUCACUCGCCCUGCGGUAAUUGUUUCACCAAAUGUCGUGACAUCUACAUCUUAUUCGACCACAACCAGAUAG